GACGAACGCUGGCGGCGUGCUUAACACAUGCAAGUCGAACGGAAAGGCCCUGCUUUUGUGGGGUGCUCGAGUGGCGAACGGGUGAGUAACACGUGAGUAACCUGCCCUUGACUUUGGGAUAACUUCAGGAAACUGGGGCUAAUACCGGAUAGGAGCUCCUGCUGCGUGGUGGGGGUUGGAAAGUUUCGGCGGUUGGGGAUGGACUCGCGGCUUAUCAGCUUGUUGGUGGGGUAGUGGCUUACCAAGGCUUUGACGGGUAGCCGGCCUGAGAGGGUGACCGGCCACAUUGGGACUGAGAUACGGCCCAGACUCCUACGGGAGGCAGCAGUGGGGAAUAUUGCACAAUGGGCGGAAGCCUGAUGCAGCAACGCCGCGUGCGGGAUGACGGCCUUCGGGUUGUAAACCGCUUUCGCCUGUGACGAAGCGUGAGUGACGGUAAUGGAUAAAGAAGCACCGGCUAACUACGUGCCAGCAGCCGCGGUGAUACGUAGGGUGCGAGCGUUGUCCGGAUUUAUUGGGCGUAAAGGGCUCGUAGGUGGUUGAUCGCGUCGGAAGUGUAAUCUUGGGGCUUAACCCUGAGCGUGCUUUCGAUACGGGUUGACUUGAGGAAGGUAGGGGAGAAUGGAAUUCCUGGUGGAGCGGUGGAAUGCGCAGAUAUCAGGAGGAACACCAGUGGCGAAGGCGGUUCUCUGGGCCUUUCCUGACGCUGAGGAGCGAAAGCGUGGGGAGCGAACAGGCUUAGAUACCCUGGUAGUCCACGCUGUAAACGGUGGGUACUAGGUGUGGGGUCCAUUCCACGGGUUCCGUGCCGUAGCUAACGCUUUAAGUACCCCGCCUGGGGAGUACGGCCGCAAGGCUAAAACUCAAAGGAAUUGACGGGGCCCCGCACAAGCGGCGGAGCAUGCGGAUUAAUUCGAUGCAACGCGUAGAACCUUACCUGGGUUUGACAUGGAUCGGGAGUGCUCAGAGAUGGGUGUGCCUCUUUUGGGGUCGGUUCACAGGUGGUGCAUGCCUGUCGUCAGCUCGUGUCGUGAGAUGUUGGGUUAAGUCCCGCAACGAGCGCAACCCUUGUUCACUGUUGCCAGCACGUUAUGGUGGGGACUCAGUGGAGACCGCCGGGGUCAACUCGGAGGAAGGUGGGGAUGACGUCAAGUCAUCAUGCCCCUUAUGUCCAGGGCUUCACGCAUGCUACAAUGGCUGGUACAGAGAGUGGCGAGCCUGUGAGGGUGAGCGAAUCUCGGAAAGCCGGUCUCAGUUCGGAUUGGGGUCUGCAACUCGACCUCAUGAAGUCGGAGUCGCUAGUAAUCGCAGAUCAGCAACGCUGCGGUGAAUACGUUCCCGGGGCU
RNAcentral lists this ribosomal RNA (1346 nucleotides) under uncultured bacterium. Its description in RNAcentral is "partial 16S ribosomal RNA". It matches the Rfam family "Bacterial small subunit ribosomal RNA", at positions 28 to 1381 of the family's 1533-position model. The record is from RNAcentral.